AAGACACUCUCAAAUGUUGUUG
RNAcentral lists this non-coding RNA (22 nucleotides) under Arabidopsis thaliana (thale cress). The record is from RNAcentral. Lineage: Eukaryota; Viridiplantae; Streptophyta; Magnoliopsida; Brassicales; Brassicaceae.